RNAcentral lists this long non-coding RNA (292 nucleotides) under Homo sapiens (human). Its description in RNAcentral is "long non-coding RNA NONHSAT068312". Lineage: Eukaryota; Metazoa; Chordata; Mammalia; Primates; Hominidae. The record is from RNAcentral.
AGCAUCGGAGGAUUCACACAGGAGAGAAGCCCUAUGGAUGCAACGAGUGUGGGAAAACCUUCAGCCACAGCUCCUCACUCAGCCAGCAUGAGCGGACACACACAGGAGAGAAGCCCUAUGAGUGCAGUCAGUGUGGGAAGGCCUUCCGGCAGAGCACACACCUCACCCAACACCAGCGAAUCCACACAGGGGAGAAGCCCUAUGAAUGCAAUGACUGCGGCAAGGCAUUCAGUCACAGCUCGUCCCUCACCAAACAUCAGCGAAUCCACACUGGGGAGAAGCCCUACGAAUG